UGAUUACGACGUCGCCUAUCUUCAGGGCGU
RNAcentral lists this small RNA (30 nucleotides) under Bombyx mori (domestic silkworm). Its description in RNAcentral is "ovarian small RNA-32997". Lineage: Eukaryota; Metazoa; Arthropoda; Insecta; Lepidoptera; Bombycidae. The record is from RNAcentral.